CAAUAUUCUUUGGGGCUAACGAUGCAGCUCUAAAAGGGAGAACCAGUGACAGGCAACAUGUUCCUGUGGAGGAAUACAAAGAGAAUCUAAGGAAAAUUGUUCAGCAUUUGAAGGUUUUGUCCAUGCCACAUUAAUUGUGCUUAUUACUCCACCACCGAUUGAUGAAGAAGGGCGCAAACAGUAUGCCAUAUCUGUAUAUGGUGAGAAAGCUACGGAAUUGCCAGAAAGGACAAAUGAAAUGGCAGGA
Molecule: unclassified non-coding RNA, 247 nt
Filed under: Hevea brasiliensis (rubber tree)
Lineage: Eukaryota; Viridiplantae; Streptophyta; Magnoliopsida; Malpighiales; Euphorbiaceae
Source: RNAcentral